Molecule: small nucleolar RNA, 121 nt
Filed under: Tetrapisispora phaffii CBS 4417
Lineage: Eukaryota; Fungi; Ascomycota; Saccharomycetes; Saccharomycetales; Saccharomycetaceae
Description: Small nucleolar RNA snR33
Rfam family: Small nucleolar RNA snR33
Source: Rfam by way of RNAcentral
AAUUCUCAUGAAUACAUAUAUAGUCGUAUUGUCUGCAUAGACAGAAAUAUUAUCACACCGGUUUGAGUUGGUUCAUCUAAUUUUUUCUAAUUUGGAUUGAUAUAGAAGUGUGUGAACAUAU